GGGGAUGUAGCACAGUGGUGCCGCGCCUGUCUGGCAAGCACAAGGCCCUGAGUUUGAUCCCCAGUACCCCCC
RNAcentral lists this transfer RNA (72 nucleotides) under Heterocephalus glaber (naked mole-rat). It matches the Rfam family "tRNA". Rfam says of the family: Transfer RNA (tRNA) molecules are approximately 80 nucleotides in length. Their secondary structure includes four short double-helical elements and three loops (D, anti-codon, and T loops). Further hydrogen bonds mediate the characteristic L-shaped molecular structure. tRNAs have two regions of fundamental functional importance: the anti-codon, which is responsible for specific mRNA codon recognition, and the 3' end, to which the tRNAs corresponding amino acid is attached (by aminoacyl-tRNA synthetases). tRNAs cope with the degeneracy of the genetic code in two manners: having more than one tRNA (with a specific anti-codon) for a particular amino acid; and 'wobble' base-pairing, i.e. permitting non-standard base-pairing at the 3rd anti-codon position. The record is from Rfam by way of RNAcentral. Lineage: Eukaryota; Metazoa; Chordata; Mammalia; Rodentia; Bathyergidae.